GUAACCUUUUAGGAGCUAGCCGUCGAAGGUGGGACAAAUGAUUGGGGUGAAGUCGUAACAAGGUAGCCGUAUCGGAAGGUGCGGCUGGAUCACCUCCUUU
Molecule: ribosomal RNA, 100 nt
Filed under: Staphylococcus aureus
Lineage: Bacteria; Bacillati; Bacillota; Bacilli; Caryophanales; Staphylococcaceae
Also listed under: 2 other names
Description: partial 16S ribosomal RNA
Rfam family: Bacterial small subunit ribosomal RNA
Source: RNAcentral